AUGUGCAAAACCAUAAUUUUAGGCAUAGUUGCUAUGUCUUUUAACUCUGUACUUGGACUUGAGUAGAGGAGACAGGUGCUCAAAGGCCAGCCAGCCUACAUAUAUUGUUAAGGAAUAGAUUCUAUCUGAAAAAGGAAGGAGGAGGAUGAUAAAGGAAGGCAUCUGACUUUGAAAGUUGACCUCCACAAGCACAUGUUUGGCAAGGUCACUUAAUUUAGAUAAGCCUGCUUAGGCAUAACUGCUCACCAAGCUGCCUUUUCCCCUCUCCAUUUACUUAAUUUGAGUCACAUUAAAGGAGAGGAAUAUUUUUUUGUUUGUUUGUUUGUAGUAUCUUGAAGACUAGGGUAUGGAAAUAAGGGUUACCAAUUCCUUCUAGUUUCUAGGAUGUUUGUCCCUACAGAGAUUGAUGGUUAAGUUCUGUUUUUCACUCACAGAUUUUUGGCUCCUUUAGGGUGAAGUAAACUCUAUUAACAACUUCUAGCAAUAUUUGUCUCUAUGUGUUUAACAUGUGUUGUUUCAGGUGACCAUUAGGUAAUGAGAGUGUGGUUCACUUAGCACUAUCUCCAAAACUGGUAUCUCCUCUCUCCUGCAGUAACACAGUCUGGAAGACUUUGUAGCAGUGUCUCUGCUACAUCUGAGCUUUUGACUGGAAUAGAAUGUCUUAUGGAGUGAUGCUUCCUGGAAGAAACAUCACAUGACUGCACUGUCUACUAUACCUCUGUGACUUUGAUGCAGCUCAUAGCACUGCCUUUAAAUUCCCAAAGAGAGAAAAAUAGUGUUCCUGAGAAAUAUCACCUUCGGGACGUCUUCACCCAUCUCAUGACCAUGGCUAUAUGUAAUCCAGUGGGGGCCUAACAAAGGCAUAUACAUUAUAUUGUAGAUAUUCUUGAAGCCCUUUGUCCUUUCACAAACUUCGAUGAGCAAGCCCUAGCUGACUGAAAAAGGAAUUUGUGUUCAACUUUUCACAUAAAUAUAGACGAGAAAACUUUAGUCUUGCCUUUUGACAGCUGCAAAAAUGAUAAAAUCACCUGGAAAAUCCCUCCAGUCUCAACAAUAUGUGUUUUGAAACCUAGCAUCUUUGCUGUCAAAUUCUUCAUUUCUUAUUAAAGCGGAAACUUACUCUUGGGAAUUAUACAAAGUCCCAGACAUUUCAUUCUUUCCUGUCUAUGAAAAGCUAAGGAAAAUCCAAUUUUACAG
RNAcentral lists this long non-coding RNA (1197 nucleotides) under Mus musculus (house mouse). RNAcentral describes it as "long non-coding RNA chr15:22592224-22593421". The record is from RNAcentral. Lineage: Eukaryota; Metazoa; Chordata; Mammalia; Rodentia; Muridae.